Molecule: ribosomal RNA, 189 nt
Filed under: Triticum aestivum (bread wheat)
Lineage: Eukaryota; Viridiplantae; Streptophyta; Magnoliopsida; Poales; Poaceae
Description: partial small subunit ribosomal RNA
Source: RNAcentral
AUGAAGGAUGGACCUGAGGUUUCUGUCAUAUCAUUAUGCGCCUUUGAAGGUCAUUGGACUAGCCAGCAUGAGCUCUUUUACCAAAACAAGGUUAUUGAUCUGGCAAGGUUGAAUCAUGAGAACAUAGCAAAGUUUCUGGGCUAUUGCAGAGAGAGUGACCCAUUCUCGAGGAUGUUAAUCUUUGAGUAA